RNAcentral lists this ribosomal RNA (560 nucleotides) under Escherichia coli. Its description in RNAcentral is "bacterial SSU rRNA". It matches the Rfam family "Bacterial small subunit ribosomal RNA", at positions 75 to 630 of the family's 1533-position model. Lineage: Bacteria; Pseudomonadati; Pseudomonadota; Gammaproteobacteria; Enterobacterales; Enterobacteriaceae. The record is from RNAcentral.
CUUGCUUCUUUGCUGACGAGUGGCGGACGGGUGAGUAAUGUCUGGGAAACUGCCUGAUGGAGGGGGAUAACUACUGGAAACGGUAGCUAAUACCGCAUAACGUCGCAAGACCAAAGAGGGGGACCUUCGGGCCUCUUGCCAUCGGAUGUGCCCAGAUGGGAUUAGCUAGUAGGUGGGGUAACGGCUCACCUAGGCGACGAUCCCUAGCUGGUCUGAGAGGAUGACCAGCCACACUGGAACUGAGACACGGUCCAGACUCCUACGGGAGGCAGCAGUGGGGAAUAUUGCACAAUGGGCGCAAGCCUGAUGCAGCCAUGCCGCGUGUAUGAAGAAGGCCUUCGGGUUGUAAAGUACUUUCAGCGGGGAGGAAGGGAGUAAAGUUAAUACCUUUGCUCAUUGACGUUACCCGCAGAAGGAGCACCGGCUAACUCCGUGCCAGCAGCCGCGGUAAUACGGAGGGUGCAAGCGUUAAUCGGAAUUACUGGGCGUAAAGCGCACGCAUGCGGUUUGUUAAGUCAGAUGUGAAAUCCCCCGGGCUCAACCUGGGGAACUGCAUCUGA